Acanthosepion pharaonis is the source of this 105-nucleotide non-coding RNA. The record is from the annotation of a GenBank genome assembly. NCBI's taxonomy places the organism in Eukaryota, Metazoa, Mollusca, Cephalopoda, Sepiida, Sepiidae.
UUGCAGCCAUAUCAUGUUGAAACACCAGUUCUCAUACAAUUACCAAAGUUAAGCAAUGUCAAGCCUGGUUGGUACCUUGAUGGGUGACCACUUGAGAAUAUCGUG